Molecule: ribosomal RNA, 403 nt
Filed under: uncultured bacterium
Lineage: Bacteria
Description: bacterial SSU rRNA
Rfam family: Bacterial small subunit ribosomal RNA
Source: RNAcentral
UUAUCCGGAUUUAUUGGGUUUAAAGGGAGCGUAGGCGGGUGCUUAAGUCAGUUGUGAAAGUUUGCGGCUCAACCGUAAAAUUGCAGUUGAUACUGGGCGCCUUGAGUGCAGCAUAGGUAGGCGGAAUUCGUGGUGUAGCGGUGAAAUGCUUAGAUAUCACGAAGAACUCCGAUUGCGAAGGCAGCUUACUGGACUGUAACUGACGCUGAUGCUCGAAAGUGUGGGUAUCAAACAGGAUUAGAUACCCUGGUAGUCCACACAGUAAACGAUGAAUACUCGCUGUUGGCGAUACACAGUCAGCGGCCAAGCGAAAGCAUUAAGUAUUCCACCUGGGGAGUACGCCGGCAACGGUGAAACUCAAAGGAAUUGACGGGGGCCCGCACAAGCGGAGGAACAUGUGGUU